CCUGUGUGAAGAACUCAGACUGUGUGGUUGGGAAGAGGAGGGAAGGCUCCAAAUGCCAUUCUGUCAGUUCUCCCAGGAUUAACUGGCUUUGCUCCUGUGCUGGUGCAGCCACCCAUGCUCCAAGGUACACAAGAAGCUGGGAUGAGGAACAAGCAGGACAGCUGACCCAAACUGGCCAAAAGGAUAUUCAAUGCCAUAUGAUGGUAUGCUCAGUAUAUAUUUUUGGGGAAGAAGAAGGGUGUUUGGAGAAGGAAGAUGUUUGGAGUCAUGGUGUUUGUCUUCCCAAGUAACUGUUACACAUGAUGGAGCCUUGCUUUCCUGGAUAUGGCUGAACACCUGCCUACAAUGGGAAGCAGUAAAUUCCUUGUUUUGCUUUGUUUGCAUGUGUUGCUUUUGCUUUACUUAUUAAACUGUGUUUAUCUCAACCAA
Molecule: long non-coding RNA, 429 nt
Organism: Columba livia (rock pigeon)
Lineage: Eukaryota; Metazoa; Chordata; Aves; Columbiformes; Columbidae
Exons: 2
Source: RefSeq, a predicted model, not a curated record